AUGCGCAAGGAGGGGAAAAGAGGGGUGCUGGAGGGAGGAAUCGGGAGUGGAGGGAGGCAGCAGGACACAGCGCCCGGCGGCCACAGACACCCCACUCUUUUCCCCCACCCCGGGACGCGCUCCCCGGGGGAGGAGAGGACGGAAGAAGCGCUGAGACCCUCAGCCCUCCGGGUAGUUCGGAACCAGGUUGACCCGUCCGAGCUGGAAGGGCGCAUCCUGGGGUUGGGAAGGGGGUGUCCGACGGAUGAGGAGGGCGAUACCCGGGACUCGAGACCGCCCACCCACGAGAGGGGUGCGCGCCAGCCAGUCCCGCGCUCCAGCCUUCGGCCCCUGGCCGGGAACUUGCCCUCGGGCCCGUCCCAGGUGCUCACCGCGGGCCGCUCCAGCCUCUCCGCGCUCUCCGCCGUCCUCCGCGCGCACGGGCCGGGGGCCCGCAGACGCUCGGCCCCGCAGCGCUGUCUGAUCAGGGUCAGCGCCGGCUCCGCGCCCGCGCCCGCGCCCCGCGCCAGCCGCACGCUAACUUUCCGGCGGCGGCGACGCUGGGCGGCGGCGGAGNNNNNNNNNNNNNNNNNNNNNNNNNNNNNNNNNNNNNNNNNGCGGCGGCCGAGGGUCCCCGCCUGCUGCUCCGAGCCCCUGCCCGCGCCUCCGCGCUCCUGCCGCGGCCGCGGGGAGCGACUCGCCGCCCCGGAGCCCCUGCCCGACAGACCCCUCCCUGCGCGCCGGUGCCGGCACCUGCCUCGCGGACUCCUAUACUGCGGGACUUUCCCCGAGGGCGCCGCCCCGCAGACCUCCCCACCCAGAGCUCAGUGGGGAGACCCCCGCCCGGGGAACCCGGGCGGGCCGAUUGCAGCUCCCAGCCGGGAAUGGAGCGGUGGACGGACAGUUCCCUGUGUACCACCCGGGUCUCCUGGUGUUCACACUGCUAGAUGCCCAGAGCCACAUCAGGACCCCUCUCCACUGGCCCGCUGCCAUUUCCUGGAUGCACUUCCUCGGCCCACCCACCAGCUGGACACCCGGCCGGGAUCCUGA
Molecule: long non-coding RNA, 1029 nt
Filed under: Capra hircus (goat)
Lineage: Eukaryota; Metazoa; Chordata; Mammalia; Artiodactyla; Bovidae
Description: lncRNA (ENSCHIG00010027885.1)
Source: RNAcentral